ACAUUCUACUCCAGAAACAGUGUCCGAACUGCUUGAAUUGGUCCAUUUUAAUCUACUCCUAUUUGGUCAAACUACCCUUCAUCAGAUGAAAAUGGGAUAAACUGAGGGCUUGUCCACUUGGAGGUUCAUCAGACUGUCAUUCUACUAACGAUCCUUCUCCAUGUAAACUAGAAUAUCUACAUAUGAGGUCUGUUUUCCCCCUUCUGUGCUUCUGAGGAAGAGGCAGAUCAAUAAAAAGAUGAAUGCAACACUUAUUAUUAAAUGGGCCACUGGAUGCAGUUACCAUUCUCUUCUUCACAUCACCUGAGGGCGCAAAGAAAAAAAUAUCUGCUGUGAACUCCACAUGGCGUCAGGAAGAGCAUCUGGCCAGUAAAUGCUCAGCUCCAUCCAGUUGCCCCAACUCUAUCUCCAAUUAAGGGAUUACAGGGUCGUAUAAAGAGAGUAUUUAGCUGCUAAUCUGAUGAAUAUGAUUUUGGGAAGCAUGUGAUAAACAACCAGUUAAAACAAUUAAAACAGCAGUUAAAAUGAUGGGAUGGA
Molecule: long non-coding RNA, 537 nt
Organism: Pantherophis guttatus
Lineage: Eukaryota; Metazoa; Chordata; Lepidosauria; Squamata; Colubridae
Source: RefSeq, a predicted model, not a curated record